This is a long non-coding RNA of Cygnus atratus (black swan), 652 nucleotides long. RefSeq lists it as uncharacterized. Lineage: Eukaryota; Metazoa; Chordata; Aves; Anseriformes; Anatidae. The transcript is spliced from 3 exons. The record is from RefSeq and is a predicted model, not a curated record.
GUACAUGGAAAGCAUCCUGAACCCCUCCCUCCAAAAGGAGCGUGUAAUCUGCAAGUGCACCGAGAAGGGCUUUGGUGACUGGAGAGGUCAUAGCACGAGUCCCUGGAACACAGAGAUCACAGAUCGUGCGAGGACUGAACCCACUGUUACCAUGGGGUUCCUGGCACAGCAAGGCUGGAGCCUAUGCGGAGAGAAGACAUCCGAGUAUAAGAAAACAAUCUGAAGGAAAUAUUUUAAUUCUCCACAAGACCUCUCAGUGAAGAGCCCUGAGUGUGGCUGACACGUGCACAAAGGUGGAAGAAGUUAAAGGGCACUGGAAAGAAGAUCAGAGGAGAUUGGUAUUUCUUGGCAGACAGCCUGGGGGUUGGAGAGUAGAGGAGUUGCUUGUGAUUCCCUUGUUAUCCUUCGAGAAUUUCAAAGGAAGUGGCAAUUUAAAAAAUGAGAAGUUGAGAAAAAGGAAAGAAGAAGAUGCAGUGAAGUGGCUGCACAACAGUGUAACUGGGGAUGAGGUGCAAAAAGGUAUCGGAGGUAAGAAGGUGGGAAAGGAGGAGGUGGCGAGUACAGCAGUGUAAGGAUGGGCAGGGUCUUGCUCUGUUCGUAGCUCAAAUGCCGUGAAACAUUAUUCACACUUUUGCCUUACUGUAUUGCACUU